CCAAGCCUGCAGGGAUGUAGAGCUGUGCCCGGUGCUGGCACCGGGGUCACUAUGGGUUGGUGACAGCCCGCCCUGCCGGAUUUUCCAGUGAUUCAAUGGGUCCGGUGACACAGCCUGACUAAGGGGCCCAACGCCCGCACACGGCACAGCACCGGCUGUGAGUGCCUCCCGUCUGUCCCCCUGCAACCCCCACUGCCAUCUCAGGGGGUUUGGUGACCGUGGAGAUCAGAGCCCCUGAGAGCUUGGUGCCCUUCCUAUCACCUUGGUGUCCUUCCCAUUUUGGUGCCCUUUCCAUCAUCUUGGUGCCCUUCCCAUCUUGGCACCCUUCCCAUCAUCUUGGUGUCCUUCCCAUCUUGGUGUCCCCACUCGUGUGGUGUCUCUGUGAGCUUGGGGUCCCUUAUUAGUUUUGGGUCCCUUCAAGCUUGGUGUCCUUCUGAGCUUUGUGUCCCCGCUCCCUUGGUGUUCCUAUUAGCUUUGUGUUCCUUAAAGUCUUGGUGUCCCUUCAAACUUGAUUUCCCCAUUCAGUUGGUGACCCCACACUCACUUGACAUCCCUACAAGCUUGGGGUCCCUAUUAAUUUUGUGUCCCUCCUACCUUGAUGUCCCCACUCACUUGACAUCCCCACUCGAUGUCCCCACACGCACGGUGUCCCCUCUCAGCAUCCUCAUGAGCACACUGAGCUCACCUCUGCUCUUUCCUCCUCACCCCUCCUCACUCUCUGUCCCCAUCAUCCCCAUUCCCACCCCAUCCCGUCAUCACCCCACACCCUUGGGGUGCCCCCAGGUGUUGGGCACAGCCCCGUGCUCUGGCAGUGGGCACCGACCCCCCCAUAACUUAUGCAUGACAGUGGUUCCUGUAUUUAUUGAAGCCAUCAAAUUAAUUUAACGCAUCCCCGCCCUGGGGAUGAAUAUUUAAGUUUACACUUUUAAUAUAUAAAUGGAUAUCUAUUUUUGUUAAUUUUUUUUAUUGUAUUGUGUUAAAGUAUAAAUGUGAUGAUAUUUUAUUUAUGAAUGCAAAUAUUAUUUUGUACUGGAAGAAGGGACCAACCCUUUAUUUUUCUAUGGCAGCAGAUGGAAAUAAAGUCUUG
This 1087-nucleotide long non-coding RNA is filed under the name Chrysolophus pictus (golden pheasant). RNAcentral describes it as "lncRNA (ENSCPIG00010005051.1)". Lineage: Eukaryota; Metazoa; Chordata; Aves; Galliformes; Phasianidae. The record is from RNAcentral.